RNAcentral lists this ribosomal RNA (1114 nucleotides) under uncultured bacterium. RNAcentral describes it as "bacterial SSU rRNA". It matches the Rfam family "Bacterial small subunit ribosomal RNA", at positions 49 to 1165 of the family's 1533-position model. The record is from RNAcentral.
CUACCAUGCAGUCUAUUUGCAAUCUGGUGCUUGCACCAGAUGGAGGAUGGCGAACGGGUGAGUAACGCGUAGACAACCUGCCCUUCAGUCCGGGACAACCCUGUGAAAACGGGACUAAGACCGGAUGGUAUCAUCGCCUCGCAUGGGGCUUUGAUUAAAGAUCUCGAAUCGCUGAAGGAUGGGUCUGCGUGACAUUAGCUAGUUGGUGGGGUAACUGCCUACCAAGGCUUCGAUGUCUAGCUGGUCUGAGAGGAUGAUCAGCCACACUGGGACUGAGAUACGGCCCAGACUCCUACGGGAGGCAGCAGUGAGGAAUAUUGCGCAAUGGGGGCAACCCUGACGCAGCAACGCCGCGUGUGUGAAGAAGCAGUUUUCUGUGUAAAACACUGUUAAUCGGGACGAAAGGAUUGGUUUGCAGCCGAUCUUGACUGUACCGGUAGAGGAAGCUCCGGCUAACUCCGUGCCAGCAGCCGCGGUAAUACGGGGGGAGCGAGCGUUGUCCGGAAUCAUUGGGCGUAAAGGGCAUUCAGGUGGGUCUUUAAGUCAGUUGUUAAAUCUUACGGCUUAACCGUAUUCUGCAAUUGAUACUGGAGAUCUUGAGUUUGAGAGGGGACAGUGGAAUACCUAGUGUAGCGGUGGAAUGCGUAGAUAUUAGGUAGAACACCUGAGGCGAAGGCGACUGUCUGGCUCAUAACUGACACUGAAGUGCGAAAGCAUGGGUAGCGAACAGGAUUAGAUACCCUGGUAGUCCAUGCCGUAAACGAUGGGUACUAGUUGUCGGGGGACUAACCCCCUCGGUGGCGCCGCUAACGCUUUAAGUACCCCGCCUGGGGGAGUACGAUCGCAAGGUUGAAACUCAAAGGAAUUGACGGGGCCCCGCACAAGCGGUGGAGCAUGUGGUUUAAUUCGAUGCAACGCGAAGAACCUUACCUGCGCUUGAACUGCAUUUGCCACUCCAGAGAUGGAGCCUUUCCAGCAUGGACAGAUGCGGAGUGCUGCAUGCUGUCGUCAGCUCGUGUCGUGAGAUGUUGGGGUAGUCCCGCACGAGCGCACCCUUAUCAUAGUUGCAGCGCGUCAUGGCGGGGACUCUAAUGAGACUGCCCGGUACCACGAG